AGGUUUGGCACCUUUUGGUUCAAAUCUUGGAAGUCCGGCAAGAAUGGAUUAGAUGUCCCUGUUCUAAAGACGCUCGUUCUUGUGGCAACUCGAGCAAUUAGUAAUGAAGAAAUUCUCCUGAACUACAGAUUGAGCAACUCAAAGCAAAGACCACCAUGGUACACUUCAGUGGAUGAGGAAGAAGAUCGAAGGAGGUGGAGCUAAGAUGAUAAUCAAUGGUGCAUGUUGAAGUGUACUAACCAUGAAAACAAGUGCAUUUCUCUAUACGACGCCAGGAGAACAGUGAGAACAUUUAUUUUGGUGACUAUAAUCUGGUUCACUUUUGGUUUUACAUCUUUUUGAAUAGUUUGCUUGUAGCAAUUAUGGCUAGUGGCCAAGUCAACCUGUUAAGAACAUGAUUUGCUGAGCUGGACAACAGAGCUACUAUGCUUUGAACUAACCGCGAAUUAUUCUUACAUGAGUUGCAUAAUAAGCGGAAAAGGAAUCCAUCCUUGUUAUAGAAAAUAUUAAAUGUUAUUCUGAUUGCUUAUGAAAUAUGAGAGCCUUCAUUUUCUCAUUUGAUUCUUGGAUGAUUACUCCAGCUUCCUGUGUUUUAUGUAUGUUUCUUUAUAAAUGAUAGUACUUCACUAAUCUACUUUACACCCCACAGAUUUGUAAGCAAUGUUGAUUUAAUGCAGUCAUCAAAGUUUUGAUGUACACUGAGACGUUUGUUUUGUCUUUUAAUGUAUUCUUCCCCUCCUUCUAUGAUUGAUAAAACACUGAGCUGGUAUGCAUAUAGAAAAACAUGCAUGAUUAGUCAUAACCACCAUAGUAAUGAACUCUUGUUUGAUGAAUGCCGAUGCAUGCUCAUACGUGACGAUCCAUUUCAAUGCAUAAAUUGAAUGAUAUUUGUAUUCAAGUAUUGCACAAACAAAAGCAGAAGGUGUAACAUAACUUAGAUGUUACUAUUUAUUAGCAACUAGAAGUUUGGGAUUGAGACGUAGUAGUUGUUGUAUUAGGAAGUAAAGAAGAGAUAUGCUAGAACAGGAAGCUUGCCCUCUCCAAUAAUUACACUGAUCAUGCCCUGCAAGCUGUGAACAAUUAGCAGGCUACUUGAGAUUAGAUGUUGCUUUGCCUAUGUUUAUGUAGUAAGUGCUCAUAGACAAAUGUAACGUCGUUUUUCUGCAUUUUUUAGUUGUGUCUGAAAGAGAGUGCAGGGGAGAAUUGUGAUUACAAAUGAGCAAGAAGGUUGUCAGUAUUUUGGCGUGGCCUACAUUUUGCUAGCAAUGGUAUUGCUUUGGGCAUAGUGAGUCCAGGUCCUCCAGUCAUGUCAACCAGCUCUUCACUUACUCUCUCCCAUUCAAAGCACUGAAUAAGUGAUCCUAAUGCCAAACCAGCCACAUGCAUUGCCAAAUUCUCACCUGGACAUCCUCUCCUGCCAUAUCCAAAUGGCAUUAGCCUGAACCCGUCUCGUUGACCUUUGAAAUCGAUAAACCUUUCAGGCUUGAACUCAUUUGGCUUGUCCCACAAUUUAGCAUCAUUUUGUAUUGCCCACAAAUUCACUAGCAACAUUGUCCCACGGGGUACAUGAAAACUUCCAACGAUACACUCAUCCGAGGACUCGUGUGGCACAAGUAAUGGAGCAGCUGGGCACAAUCGGAGAGUUUCGUUUAUGAUUCCAUGGAGAUAAGGGAGUUGAGCAAGGUCCGAUUCAUCAAGUAAUCUUGAUGCCUCUCCAAGGUGAGUGUCUAUUUCAUUUUGAACUUUCUUUAGUGCCUCAGGAUUGUUCAGAAGAAAUGAUAAUGCCCAUUCCAUUGUGCUAGCUGUAGUAUCAGUCCCUGCUGUUAACAUGACUAUUCCCAUGCCCUUUAUCACUUCAUCUGUGUAAUAAUCAGGCUCUGAAUCUUGGAGGGAUAAGAGAACAUCAAUCAUGGUAUUGUUCUUUUGCUCUAAAGAAGAUCCCUUUCGACGGUUCUUGUGCUCUUCAAUCAAUUCUUGCAUGAAUUUAUCCCUCUUCUCCUGCAGUAACUUAACCUUAUCCUCAAGUUUGUUUACUCCUAUCCAUUUAAGUAGUGGCACAAAAUCUCCUAUAUUUGUUGCACCACUCACUUGGAAAGUUUCUAUAACAAUCUCUUUAAACCUCCUAGAUUCCUCCAAUUUCCCAGCAGAAUCACCAUAGUAUCUCUUCCCAGCAAUCAUCAUCAUCAAGAUAUUCAGUGUCAUCUCAAAGAAAGCCGCCUUCAUAUCCACCACAGUUGUGUUAGUAUCUCCACCACUGGUUUCCCCCCUUAGAAGUCGUUGCAGCAGAGCCCGAACCUCAUCUCUACGGAUAUCAGCAAACAUUUGAACUCUCUGAGUGGACAAGAUUUCAUGAGUAGCAAUCCUUCUUAGGUUGCGCCAAUGUUGGCCAUAGGAUGCCCAAACAAGGCUGGUAUAGUUGUAACCAAGAUGUUUUCCAGCAAGCAGCCUCACACGAUUGGCAAAAACAAUGUCGUUUUUGGUGAAACAUUCCUCUGCAAGAGAAGGGGAGGAGACAACCAAGACUGGACGCGAUCCAAAUCGAAGGUAAAGCAAAGGACCAUGUUUUUCUGAGAUGUUGGCUAAUGUUUUAUGAAGUGGUUUUUUCUUGAGUAGAUAUAGAUGGCCUAUAAUGGGCAAAGAGAUAAAGGGACUUGGUGGGAGAUUUUGGAAUUUUCCAAGGAAAUGGUUCUUUAGUAAGUAUAGGAAAGUGAAGAUGAGUAUGUAAUAUGAAAUUUCCAUGGUUGAUGCAAAAACAAGCAAAGAAGACUUCUUGACAACUUUGCUCACUUGAUCAUUAUUUAUACUAUUGUUGUCUAGGUAUCAUUUGUGGAUGGCAAGGUGCCAAGCAUGCUAGUAUUGUUAAACUAGGGUGAAUAGCAUGUCCCCACCAACAUAGGUAGUGGUGCAGCAAUGGAACUGCUCCAUUCUUAAUCAGAAGUCUCGAGUUCAACCUCUAGAUAUGGAGCAGAAUGAGCCUUGCAAUAUGUGAUCCGAAUUUAGUUGAAGCUCCGACACCGGACAUGGGAAAUAAAAAAAAUAAAAAUAAAGAAUAGUGUGGGCCCAAUAUUAUGAAAAUUCAAACUAUUAAUAAAUAUCUUUAUCAAAAUAACAAAUGUUAAGAGUAAAAAUAUGUUGGUCUAUUUUUGUUUCAAAUAUAUGCAAUGGAAAGUUUAUUAUGUUUUAAUUAUAUUUUAAACUUUCAAUUAUCUAGGAGUAAAGUAGAGCAUGACAUCAUUAUUAAUAGAUUAAAGGUCUAUUAAAAUUGAACACAUGUUUACCUGUGAAAUUGAAUUUUUAAUGAAGAGGAAAGAAUGGACAUUUUUGGGAAUUGUUGAUAAGGUUCAAAUAACAAAGCAAAAAAAAAGAGUUUUUUAAAACAAGUUGAUCUUGCAAAAUGUUUUAAGAUCAUAUCUUUUAAUUUAAUAUAUAGAAAAACAAUAAUAAAGUACGACAAUAACUUGCGUUCACGCAUUUGAAAUUGACAUAUUAAAAUCAUAUCUUUUAAUAUAUAGAAAAACAAUUUUGCGUUCACGUAUUUGAAUUCUUUAAGAAAGAGCUCGAUUAUUAAUUAAACCAUAAGUGAAUUCAUGGACUUUGUUGAAUUAUUUUUUUUGACCAAGUGUAUGAGCCAUGAAUUGUCCUGGAAUUUCUAAAAUGUCCCAAGAAAAAAAAUUCUGACAAAAUAAUUUCCUCAACACAGCUUAACUCUGUCAAGUCUGUACGAAUAGUAAAUAAGUAUAUAUCUUCUUAAGACUAUUUGGAUGUACAAUUCAAUUUCGAUAGUAAUAUUCUAUUUCAGUUGCACAAGGUCAAGGCUUCAAAUUAAAGGAAUGAUAAACUUUCUAACUUUAUGAAUUGGGCUUCUGCACAUUGGGCACAACCUAUUAUCAACAUCCAUGAUCCUGCAGGAAACUACUCUCAUGAGAAUCUUCAUAACUAUAUUGAGAGAUUGAGAUCUAUAUUGCUCGGACUUUUCAAAAAUGCUCAUCGUUGAGCCCGGAUCCUCUAAAAUACCCUCUUUUGGAGGAUUCAACUAAGUUGUUCAGAUCCUUCAUUUUUGGUGUUGCACCCGUAUAGUCACGACGUAGGUGUGGCUGUGAGAUCCGUACCCAAUCGGGUCAAUCGGUUUUGAGUACUUUGACCAAAUUCGAGGGAGAAAUUCUGAACAGAUGCAAUGAUUAAUUUAAUCAAAACAAAAACUGAGGUGAAAUUGAAGAAAAUGAAACACAUUGUAUUUAUAUAAAAAAUUUCUCAAGUUUUCCACGUAAUAUCUCAUACAUUUAAGCUAUAUAACUCUAUUUUUAAAUAUUUGAAUUAUUUUUAGCACCUGCAUCCACACGGAUCCGUAUCCUCGAAUCUUAAAAUUUAGAUCAUAGAGGAUCCAACCUCUAGAUCCGCCACCUGUAUCGGACACUUGCACCUGAGUUCAAGCAACUUAGGGAUCCAACACAGGCAUGACACAAUUUUUGGAGAAUCCGAGCAACAUAGAUUGAGACUGUGUGAAAAGUCAAAAACAUAAUUUACCUUUGGGCACAUACUUGGCAAGUUGCACAAUGACCACAAGGAACAAAGAAACAGUUUCUUGAAUUGUCAUAGCAGAUAACACAUAUUCUUUCAUCAUAUAAAUCCUCUGAAGAACUUGAUCUGCCACAAUUUGCCUCUUCUUCAUAUGUUCCAUAAAUUGAUUUUACUUCCUGAUGCUGCGAAAUUGGAUCGCUCUCGGUUACUGCAUAACUUUCAUCAUGACAAGCCCCCAAAGAUUUCAGUAUAGAGCAAGUGAUUAUAACUGCUAGUCCUGUUGCAACAUUAGUUAAAGCCAACAUUUUUACUACUAAUACAAUUCUUGAUCUAUUAUGUAACUUUCAAUUGCUUGAGAGAUUACCUAAAACUCCAAGAAAAGUGACGAAACGAGCAAUGAAAGAUAUCUCAACAUACGUUUCCAGACAGGUCUUGCUGCAGCAGUUGACACAUUAUUGAUUCAUUAUGUCUCACAUUCUUGAUGUUUAUAAAGAAAAGGUUUGGACUUACAGUAUCAGGUGUUGCCAGAAUGACGUAUUGAGGAGACAGGUAUGACAAAUUGAGACACAUGCUCUUUGCUUUCGUUAUAUCGUACAUUGUUGAUGAAAUGUACACAUUCAUGAGAAGUAUGACACCUUUGGGGCUUGAUCAAUUUAUGAUGCCAAUGUUGUACCUGUCAUUUUCUUCAAUUCUGUAUGCUGCUUCGAUACCUUUAACCGAUGUGGAAUUAGUUCAAGAUUGUAACGAAUUCUAUUACAAUCAACUUAGAAACAAAAGAAAACAAGAAGAGUGUUAACUCUAGUCAAGAGUUUGUAAGUUGCACGCCUUAUUUUCUUGUUUGUUACUCCGUCAGUUUCAAUUCAUAUGACACUCUUUCCUUUUUGGGACGUUCCAAAAAUAUUUGACCAUUCUACUUAUGUACAACUUUCAAAUACUGAAAUUCAUUCAUCUUACUAACUCUGAUUUGAUAUUUGCUCUCUUUACAACCACUACUCUAAUGAAGUAUUCUCUUCCGUCAAUCUAAGUAUAUUAUAUAAGUUGUAUUAACAUUCUAAACUCACGGACAAAUCAAACACCAUCACAUAGUUAAACAGUUACAGAAAGCGUAUGAAACUUCAGGCUGUUACCAUCUGCAGUUCCAUUUGGUUUCCACACUCAAUUCAGGCUUCUCUGAGAACCCGUUAAGGAGAACUCCUUUCUUGCCAUCAUCUCUUACUUCAACUUGCUUCACAAACGGAGAACUCAUCCAGUCAUCCUGAGUAAUCGCGAUGAGCUAGGUCCAAGAACCAUGUGUCAAUCGCCAUAGAGGCUAAAGCUCAUACCUUAUGCUAAGCAACACUAAAAAAUGGAUAUUACAUGCCACAUAUCCAUAUAGGUAGCAAAACGAGCACACGAGUCAAUUUGUCUUGCCCUGUCCAUCAAUGAUAGCAAUAACAAUAACGAUUCAUGAUAAGAGGUUUAUUAACAAUAAUAGUGACUCAAAUUCAGGUUCUUGGAAACGAACAAGUGCAUUCAAUUGGCUCGACUCACUUGUCCUUUUAAGUUUAGGAAUUUGACUUCCCAUAUACUCAAGUGAUAUCAAAUAUGAAGAAUCAAAAUUCCUUAUAUCCCGACAAUGCUGAAUCUUCAAGACCUUCAGGGAUUGAAAUUUACGGAGAAAUCCGUCAGAUGUCCUCACACUUGAUAGCUCUAAAGAUUUCAGGUUCUGAUAUUCAUCAAUAUCCAAUAUUUUCGAUCCACAACCACAAUAAGACAAGUGUUCAAGAGUUGGUAGUUGGAUUUUAGCAUGUUUGUUUCCAUUAGCUGUUAUGGAAAUUGACUUGAUCUUUUGAAGUUUCAAAAGCUCAAUAUUUUUCAACCCCCAACAAUGCUUAAGGACGAAAGAGACCGUCAAGGACAACUAUUAAAUAGAGUUUGAAGCAUGUUAUCAUCUAAUUUUAGAUAAGACGGAGAAAGCUUUCUCAAAGAAUGAGAAUACGCGGCACCACUAGAUAAUAAUGAAACAUGGCUAAGAUCACAACCACAUAAAACUCAUUUAUUGUAACGAUCAAUUUGGUGUGAUCGCGUCAUUACCUUAUUAUUUUUUUCUUUUUUGUCUCUAUUAUUUAAUACUACUAACUAUAUUUCAUUUUUUAUUCUAUCUUUUCAUAAUAGCUAUAUCUCGUACUCUACUUUUCUUGUAGAUUUAUCACUCAAUUACAGAGGUGUAACAUUAUGUAAGGACAGAAAGUGGCCCAACUGAACAAAAAGCCCACCUCUCUCUCUCCAUUGAUUUCCCAAAGAGGGAAUGUAAUGGAGGGAAAUUCAAAUCUCACUUUUCAAAAUUCAAUCUGAAAAAACAAUUAGCCAAAAAUUUGCCCCAACAAGACAACUCCUUAUGGCGCCAUAUAUAUAUACAUGCGUACACACAGAGGAAAAGGGAGCAGCAAGCGAUGGCAGACCAAGAAAAUUUUGUAAGAGUAACUCGAUUGGCCAAGAAAAGGGCAGCAGAAGCAAUGGUUCAGCACUUGCAACAACCCAACAAGAAGAGAGUUGUGUUGAGUGAGAUUCAAGAUUUGUCUAAUGUGGGUAUCAAUCAGAUUGAGAACAAGGUGUUUGUUUCUGAGCCUCUGAGACCCAAAUGUAAGCAGAUUACUAGGAGGAAGGUGAAAAGCUCUGAUGACCCUCAGAUGUGUAGUGCUUAUGUUUCUGAUAUAUAUGAUUAUCUUCAUCAAAUGGAGGUUAGUGCAUUUUUAUUUACUCUUUUCCAUAAAUUUUGAAUUUAACUAUUGUUAUAUAUAGUUUAUUUAUUUGGGUGUUACCUAAUAGAGCUUGAUUUGGUUUCUUAUGGAUGAUUUUGGAAAUGGGUACUCUAAAGAUUGGAUUUUUGGCAAAUGGGUUGUGGUUUAUGUGAUUGAAUUAGCAAAUCUUGAUUUACAGCUAUUUGAAGUUGUUUGUGUUUGUGUGAAGUACUUUAACAAGUUAUUAAUAUUGGGGCUUUUGAGUUUUUGACUUACUCUGCGGUUUAUCGAAUCAGAUUCAGAAACAGAGAAGACCAUUGCCUGAUUACCUUGAGAAGGUUCAGAAGGAUGUGGGUGCAAACAUGAGAGGGGUUUUGGUCGACUGGCUAGUCGAAGUUACAGAUGAAUACAAGCUUCUUUCGGACACAUUGUAUCUUACUGUUUCCUACAUUGACAGAUUCUUAUCAGUGAAUGUCAUCCCUAGAAAGAAACUUCAGCUUUUGGGUGUUUCUGCUAUGCUCAUUGCUGCGUAAGUACCGGAGCCAAGAACUGGUUUUAUUCCCCCACCUCCCUGGCGAUGUGUUUUUUGCUUGUGAAUCUUAUAUAAUCUGUUGAUAAUGAUCAGGAAGUACGAGGAGAUUAGUCCUCCAGAUGUUGGGGAGUUUUGUUAUAUUACAGACAAUACAUAUUCAAAGAAAGAGAUGGUAAAGAUGGAGGCUGAUGUGCUAAAAUGCCUCAAAUUUGAAAUGGGAAAUCCCACAACCAAAACUUUUCUUAGGUAGCUAACUGUUUUGCGAAUAACUAGACGUGCAUUUGUAAUGAUCAUAGUUUCUCGACUAAUAUGACUUUAUUUUCUUUGGUAUGCAGACAAUUUACAGUAGUUGCUCAAGAAGAUAACAAAGUAAGUGCACAAAUAUGACAUGAACAUUAUGAUUUUCAAUUCAAUUGUAUUUGUGUUAAAUGUUUGCUAAUUUUGUUUUUUCCCUUCUUUUUUACAGAAAAACCAUUUGCAGUUAGAGUUUCUCGGCUACUACCUAGCAGAGUUAAGUUUAUUGGAUUACAACUGUGUGAAGUUCUUGCCUUCUUUGGUAGCUGCUGCUGUGAUAUUCCUUUCAAGGUUCACAUUACAGCCAAAGUCACAUCCUUGGGUACGGAUGUUAAUUUGAUUCAAACUUCACUUAUGUUUAGUUUCUUGAUAUGUUGAAGUGCUGAAUUAACUCUGUUUCAUAUUACAGUGUCUGUCCCUUCAACGUUGCUCGGGAUAUAGACCAGUGGAUCUAAAGGAAUGUGUUCUUAUCAUACACGACUUGCAAUUGAGUAGAAGAGGAAGUGCUUUGGCAGCUGUAAGGGACAAAUACAAGCUGCAUAAGGUAUUAUUCCGCGUGUGUUUGAUAAUUGGUGAUUUUGUUGUAAAUACCGUCAUAGUUCAGUAGUCUGAUGUGAACUGUAUGAUUUUCCUGUAACAGUUCAAAUGUGUUUCAACAUUGUCUUCUCCUCUGGAAAUAACGGAUUCAUUCUUCGAAGAUACAAGACUGACUACUUAGCCAUAUGCUUGUGAAUUGGAAUAGGACUGCAUUCUUGGAUUUUUGUUUUUGGUUAACAGUAUAUUUUAUUAACGACCAAAAUAUGUACAUUUACAAGCACUGAAGCAGUCGUACAGGGGAUCUUGAAUACCUCUCUCUUCUUCUGCAGUCUUUCGAGUAAUCUUGACAAUAUCUUCUUCUCGAAAAGCUGCAAUACAACUCAAAUCUUCAGAUUUUUCAUCCUAAUUCUAGUGUCGUUAUAACUAACAAAAAAAUACUAUUAGAUUUUGAUUUAUUGGUAUCAUUAUGUCACUCAAAUACCUUUGGCGUAACACCCUAUAUGAGAUAAAUACUUGUCAAAUCCAAAAUACAAAGGAUGAUCUUGCUUCUUCAUGAACCAUGAUCAUAGUCACAACAUCCUAUUAAGAUGUGCUCUUCAUAUUCAAAAAUGAAGAGGACAAACGUUUUGCUAAAUUGGAACUCGAAAAAUACAAAUAAACUAGAAGAAUAUAGAUGAAAUUGUGCAAUAAAGCAAUAACUUCUAUUCCUUUCAUUUCAAAUUUGUCUUACUUUCCUUUUUAGUCUGUUUUAGAAAAACAUAUCUAUUUUCUUUUUUGACAUCUUUUUAAUUCUAACUUUACAUAUUAUAUGUUUAAGACUAUAAUAUUAAAAGGUAUUUCUGAACAUUCUACAAAUCUUUAGUCAACUCAAUAAGGAGUUUGAUGAAGAUGGAAACAUAUUGAAUUUUUGAGUGAAGGAAAAAAAAAUCAAUUUUGGAUGAAAAAUAAUGUCUAGAAAUCAUGGUGUAGAGAGAAGCGCACUUGCUUAAACUUCGUGUGAAAUCAAAAUCAAACAAACAAAUUGAAAUACAUGAAACAAUAUAGGAUUUUAUUUAGGGAAAGGGUCAAAAAUACCCCUUUACUUUUGUUUAUUAGUUAGAUUUAUCCUUCGUUAUAAUAUUAAGUCAAAUAUAUCCUCACCACUAUGAAAGUAUUUAAAUAUGCUUCUAUUUUGGACGGAAUUCCCAAAAAGACUCCCCGUGAGCCCUUACUUUUUCAAAGGAUUGGCAAGACAUGAGAGACUCAACUCAUGCAUCGAUUUAUCGAAAUAACUCUUUGCUCUCCCACUUCCUUCUAUUCAAAAGGCAAGCAACCCCUAAACAAAAAGACCAAACAAACAAAAAUCAAUUUCAUAAAUGAAAAUAGAAGGGUAUUUUUGACAUGUUUCCUUUUUAUUCCAGGAAAAAAGGACAAAUAUAUCUCCAAAUUAUCGUAAAUGAUAUGCAGAUACCCUCCGUCAUACUUUUGGGACAUUGGUGCCCCUGCCGUUCAAAAAAUAAGGCAUAUAUACCCUUUAUACUAACGGACAUGCACGUGUCAUAAUCUUAUCCACCGACCCGAUAUUUAUUAAAUAUCAGAUGACGGAUAGAAUUGCACCACGUGUCCCUGUUUAGCUUCCGUUAGAGUGGAGAGCAUAUAUGCUUUAGUUUUUGAACGGCAAAAACAUCAAUGUCCCAAAAGUAUAACCAAUGGUAUCUACAUACCAUUUACAUCAAUUCGAUGGUAUAUUGGUCCUUUUUUCCUUUUAUUCAAUUAUGGGGUGUGAUUUUCCAUUUGGACCAAAAAGUGUAGUCCUCGUACCAAAAAAAGAGAGGGAAACUCAAAAAUGGAGGGAGCAAUAGUAUAUUUUUUUUAAGAUUUCAAAACAAAUAAAAUGCUGAGACCGUUUUCUACCAUUGGCCAUCACUGUUCCCUAUUUCUGGGUUCAACACACAUAAGGGCUGUGAAAGCUAACAAUGGUGAAGGCGGGAAGCAAAAGAGGUGCAGCAGCCAAAGAAGAACCCAAUGACGGAGCAGUGUAUGAGAAGCAAAGAGCCGAUAGAAUCAAAGAGAACAAAGAGAGACUGCACAAACUUGGCAUUCUGGAGCUCACAAGGAACCUAAAUCCCACUUCCAAGAAACUCACCACUCCUCGAAUCAGCCGCCCGGCGGUGUUAACUGACGACCCACCUCGCCGCUCUUUUAGGUAUUGAGUCUCAUCCUUCCUUAACUAGAGUUUUUGGGUUCGAGUUUAAAAAUGAAAUAAAUUUUGCUAGCUCUAUAAUCGGCCUUGGGUGUCCCAAAAUCAAAUUAGUUGAGAGAUUUAAUGAAAUAUCGAACACCGGAUGAAAAAAAAUUGGGGCUCCAAAGGCCUGAUUUAGUGGCUUGACCCUGGUUUUGAUUUUCCAAAAAAGUAGGAGAAAAGGAUGUGUUGGGUUGGUUCUUAUUGCUGUCUUUAAUGGAUAUAAAAUGUUCUCUAUAUGCUGAAAUAUGUUUAGUCAUAGAUAUUUUGGUGAUUGAUUGAGAAUAAAUGUUAAUAAUAAGCAUGAGCAGGGAUGGUGUUGGUGGCAGUUUUGAGUAUCAAAGGUUGGCCAUAUUCUUUUUGUGAAGGGUGGAAAAAGAUUCUGAUGCUUGUGAAGAAAAUGCCUACUUUUGGCUGUGAAAUAUUUUUCCAAGGAAAAUAUUUCCAACCAACUAACCAGUAAUAGUUUUGCGAUUGAGGCCUGAUUAAGAUGUGAUAAGGGUAUACACUUCUAAGCAUAUCGAAAUAAGAUAGAUAUAUACGACUAGUCGAGAGAAAGGAAAAGAAAGAUUGCUUGUGCUCAGUUUGUGUAUGGUUUUUUUCUUUUUCGGAUGGUCACCUUUUUCAUGGAAUGUCUCGGAGAUGGUCUUUCAUUCUAGUAAAACCUUUCUUGGUUUUGGUUUUUUCUAAUCGUGAAAGAUGUUCUUUAUAAAAUGAUGGUUACAUGUUUUUAGGUUGAAGGUUAAGCCUCCAGUUAGUUACAAAGAAAAGAGGAUUCCCAAGAUGGAUAAGGUAUCAACAGAGGAUGUGGAGAUUAACAUAGGAGAAGGUGAAAACCCUGAAUUCUACACAGAGGAACAUGAAAAGCUUUUAGGUGAUUGCCAGAAUGCUUGGACUCUCUAUGUUGAUGGUUAUGAUGAAGAUGGCCAGCGUGUAUAUGAUCCUGAUAAUGGCAAGUCAUGCCAUCAGUGCAGGUCUAAACAUUUGUUCUCACUGUCUGUUUUAUGUUGUUCUAUUGCUUAGUUAUCAUCUAGUCAUAUCUGUUCCCUGCGCACAGUUUCUUAGAAUAUGCAUCACUAAUUUAGGCCUCCUUUCAUGGGAUGAUGAAAACGACCAAGUCUAUGUUGUCUGAUCAAAAUAUUUCUUCUCCGUUUAGUAUGAAAAAUGAAGCUUUUCUUCCCAUUGUGGAAGCUAGCUUAAAGCAUGUGGUUGUUAAGAUUGAAUAUAAUAUUGUUUUUGAACUUCGGGCAUGAAUAUGUCCACAAGAAUGCAUAUCAACUUGAAUAUUCAAAUGUGUUGUAUUCAUCUAAAGUUGAGACCAUUUUGUUCAUGAUAUUUGUCUUAAAGAGAUAGCAAAAUAGGUGUUCAUCAUUAAUUCAUUUUUGCAGUGUUGCUCUGAUUCGGCAUUUACUUUUCCCUAUCAGCACUUAGAAUUUUGUUAAACAAUAAGUUCUGCUGCCAAUUUCAUGAGAAACAUCCUUCUUUCUAUGAUCAAAAUGCAGUCUAUCUAACCUUCGCUUGUUUCAAUUUAUUACUUUAUUUGAAAAAAAAAUAUUUGAUACAAUUGCAGGCUGAAAACUCUUGGUCAACGCACUGCGUGCAGCAAUUGCAAGCUUGGUCAAGGACAAUUCUGUGGAGAUUGUCUCUACAUGAGGUGAUAACUCUUUGAUAUCCUCUUUAACCUUUUUUCUGUAGUAUUCCCUUUAGUAGCUAACUUUCUAUCCUGAAUUCAUAUGACCGUAUUGGUGUUACUUCAAAACUACAGUUUCCGAUGAUCUUAAUGCCCAUGUGAAAUGUCUGGAUCUAAUAUUUGAGCUUGCACAUCAUGUAGGUAUGGAGAGAAUGUCAUUGAAACAAAUGAAAAUGUAAACUGGAUUUGCCCUGUCUGCCGAGGAAUAUGCAAUUGCAGUCGAUGCAGGCGUGAAAAGGGGUAUGCAGCAACUGGUGCAAUCUACAGAAAGGUAACCUCUUUGGCCCUUUUAUGCUUGGUUCAUUCCACCAGUAAAGGCUAGAUUGCUUGCCUGAUGAUUACAAAUAAUUCUCUUUUUAUGUAUAUAUAUAAGUUUGAGUUGAAGAUAGCCAUUCAAUCCUAAGGAAGUUAACAUGUUCCAGGUACUGCAUCUUGGUUACAAAUCUGUGGCACACUACCUUGUCAAAACUCGAAUGCGUAGUGACCACGAAGAUCUAAGCUCUGCAGAUUCACCUUCCAGAAAGAGUACAGUGCCAUUCACAGAGUUCACUAAUACUCUCUCAACUUCUCAAACUGAUGAUAACAAAACUUUGAAGGGGGAAGAACGCACACACUGUGACGGUGAUGAUGCAAAUUGUGAUGAAGAAGAUGUCAACGAGUGAAACAAUGAUAAAAGAUAAGAAUGUUUUUUGCCUGACAAAGACUGAAAGUGGAAAAGACCCUAUAUGUAAAGCACAUAUUACUAAAUCAGCUCGGUUAACAGUAAGUUACCUUUUUUUGUUUGGAUAUAAACAUUUUGUAAGCAUUUCAAUGGUGGGAAAAGCUUGUAUUUUGCUCGUGGUUAUUUUGCAUCUUUGUUUGACUGAUUAUGAUAAUCGAGCACUAACUUAACAGUUUCAUUUUUGCCUCGAAUCCUUUGAAAGAAAAAUUACGACAGGUUUUUGCUUGCUUCUAAAAUUAUCUGUAGUAUUAGAAUCUAAUGUAGAAACUGUAUCUUUUACUAAGUAGUUUCCAGCUAAAUAAACAAAACCAUUCAACUCAUUGUUCACGAUCCAUUGUUUCAACGAAGGGAAAUUAAAGGAAACAGGUGAGUAACUCUGGUUCUUCUGCAUUUCCAUGUUUAGACCUCGGGGACGGAUGCAAGUAAAACCUUCUUUCUUUGAUAGCUUUCUCUUCUUCCACUUUAUUUAUCUUCUCAAUGGAUGGAGAAGCUCGUUUAUUCGGACGAGUUGAGGGACUUGGGAUGAUGAUGGGAUGAAACUGGGAAUAAGUGAUUUCUAUGUCUGGUCUUCGACAUUGUCUGCGAUGGUGGAGUUUUGAUAUAUUCGGCUGCUUUUGUGCUUUUGAAGUUUUGUUGUUGCUGCAAUUUUGGGAUUUACAUCACUACAUUCAGAUGUACCAGUUAAUCGUUGAACGACUUCUCGGAAGCAAGAUAAGUCUGCUUGUACGAAUGUUGUCAUGUCUUUCGAUAAGCCUGUACGGAUCGUUGUCAUUUUCAUGUGUUCACUGAUUUUUUAUCUGCAAAACAUUCUUCCUAAUUAGUUAUGCUUCCAUUUUCCUAGCCAGAAAUUGCCUAUGAUGAUAAUUCCACCAUUUACAUAUAUAAAAGAAAGGUCAAAAUCACACCUAAAGUAUCUCGAUUUUUUAGCUACGUACCUAAAUUAUUAGGCAUUUGAAUUUUCUACUUGAACGAUGAUGAUAUUUCAGGUAGAAAACUUGUGUGAUUUUGACCUUCCACUCUGCUAAAAUCAUGAAUCAUUCGACACAAAAAUACAAUUUAAACAAACAUCUUGGCUAAAUAUGACAAUUGACAAACAAAAUAGACUCAUAACAAUGGUUUUCGAAAAUUGUUUCAAACAACAUAUUUCAGUAAAACUUAGUCGCCACUAAUAAAGUAGACCAUGACUCUUCUAGCCAAAAAGUUUAGUUAGCUUUUGUUUUAAUAAUAAAUUACUAAUAAUUGAAUGCAAUAUAUGUUUGAAAAAAGUUAAGUAUAAUUGAUAUUUGCUCUGGUGGUGGAUUCUUAAAUCUUGUCCUUUAUCCUAUCCAAAAUUUUAGAGAGUAAAAGAAUCUUUAGUUAUUAACAAUUUCCUCAUAAAGGACCCUAGAUUAUUUGUCAAGGAAAAAAUAGUCCCUAGAUUAAUACAAGUCCUUUCAGAAUAACAACAAUAGUAAUAGCUAGUGACAGUAACACCAAAUAAUCCUGGUAACUUGCUUAUGUUCAUUUGUUAAUAGAUACAUCUUGUACUAAAUAUUUAAUUUCUUUUCACUUUUCAAUUCUUUUUCCUUUUUGAUUUUGGUAAUGUAACAAGUAUUAUACUCUACGCAUGUGAUUACCAUAAAAUUCAAAUAUAACAGCUAGAGUAACUGAUUUUGCUUUCAUAACCAUUUUGGAUUUGAUCAUACUUUCAUUUUUCUUGUUGUUUGGUUUGUUUAGUAUUGAGGUUACAGUAAGUAGAAAUAAAUAAAUAUAAUGUUAAUGAUGCUUUUUUUUAGGACUUUCUGGAAAUUAUUAACUUAAUUUUGUCAUCUAAACAUUUUGGUCGUUCGUAAAUGUCCAUGUCCUGGAAAUGUGGACCCAUAAGUAUUUGUUGGACAGUUCUCAUAAGUUAUGUACAAUAAUCUCUUGAAAAGUGAGCUAGGACAUAAGAUCAUAGUUCCAAUAUCAUUUUGGUGGUCUCACAUAGUGACAUAGAUUAUAUUCAAGCUUUCCAGUCGUCUCGGACAAAAGUUUUUCUUUUAUCUCUGCAAGUGUGGAUGACUUGAGUUAGCCUCAUUGCGUCCUGGAUUUUGAAAAGUGUUCUGUUUUCAGCACAGCUAUACCUGAAAGCAAGCCAUUGAAGCGCUUAGAGGUUUCACAGAGUUUAAAGGAUCUUAUGGGCUACACUCUCGAGGUCAAACCAUCUCAAACUCCACAUGAGGAUGCUGGGCAAGGUUUAUUCAUACAUGGUGAAGCUGAUGUUGGUACUGUGUUAGCAUUCUAUCCUGGUGUAAUAUACUCUCCUGCAUACUACCGCUAUAUUCCUGGAUAUCCAAGAGUUGACGCCCAAAAUUCGUAUUUGAUCACAUGGUAUGAUGGAACUGUGAUAAAUGCACAGCCCUGGGGUGCUGGUGGUGAAUCUCGAGAAAUAUGGGAUGGAUUGUCUCUUCCUGAACCUAAGCACAUCAUGAAAGCUGAUGGGAAGGGUUCUGAGCGAAUAUGGAAAAUGCUCAGUAAGCCAUUGGAUGGAACACGUCUAGGAGGCAACCAUGAAGUGCUGGAAAGGAGAAACCCUCUAGCCUUUGCUCACUUUGCCAACCACCCAGCAAGGGACAUGGUACCAAAUGUAAUGGUAUGCCCUUUUGGUUCAAAUCUUGGAAGUCUGGCAAGAAUGGAUUAGAUGUCCCUGUUCUAAAGACGCUUGUUAUUGUGGCAACUAGAGCAAUUAGUAAUGAAGAAAUUCUCCUGAACUACAGAUUGAGCAACUCAAAGCAAAGACCACCAUGGUACACUCCAGUGGGUGAGGAAGAAGAUCGAAGGAGGUGGAGCUAAGAUGAUAAUCAAUGGUGCAUGUUGAAGUAUACUAACCAUGAAAACAAGUGCAUUUCUGUAUACAGCACUAGGAGAACAGUGAGAACAUUUAUUUUGGUGACUAUAAUCUGGUUCACUUUUGGUUUUACAUCUUUUUGAAUAGUUUGCUUGUAGCAAUUAUGGCUAGUGGCCAAGUUAACCUGUUAAGAACAUGAUUUACUGAGCAGGAGAACAGAGCUACUAUGCUUUGAACUAACCG
This 16282-nucleotide long non-coding RNA is filed under the name Solanum tuberosum (potato). Its description in RNAcentral is "long non-coding RNA (STUB_LNC011862)". The record is from RNAcentral. Lineage: Eukaryota; Viridiplantae; Streptophyta; Magnoliopsida; Solanales; Solanaceae.